GACGAACGCUGGCGGCGUGCUUAACACAUGCAAGUCGAACGGAAAGGCCCUGCUUUUGUGGGGUGCUCGAGUGGCGAACGGGUGAGUAACACGUGAGUAACCUGCCCUUGACUUUGGGAUAACUUCAGGAAACUGGGGCUAAUACCGGAUAGGAGCUCCUGCUGCAUGGUGGGGGUUGGAAAGUUUCGGCGGUUGGGGAUGGACUCGCGGCUUAUCAGCUUGUUGGUGGGGUAGUGGCUUACCAAGGCUUUGACGGGUAGCCGGCCUGAGAGGGUGACCGGCCACAUUGGGACUGAGAUACGGCCCAGACUCCUACGGGAGGCAGCAGUGGGGAAGAUUGCACAAUGGGCGGAAGCCUGAUGCGGCAACGCCGCGUGCGGGAUGACGGCCUUCGGGUUGUAAACCGCUUUCGCCUGUGACGAAGCGUGAGUGACGGUAAUGGGUAAAGAAGCACCGGCUAACUACGUG
RNAcentral lists this ribosomal RNA (468 nucleotides) under uncultured bacterium. Its description in RNAcentral is "partial 16S ribosomal RNA". It matches the Rfam family "Bacterial small subunit ribosomal RNA", at positions 28 to 507 of the family's 1533-position model. The record is from RNAcentral.